GUCAAUGACAAAUCAGAAAUAACUUAACUGCCCACCUGGGCUGUCCUAAGCUAAGCUAGAGCCAACCAUUGGCACUUGUGAGACACAGGAAGUGAGGUAAGGAACAGCCUCUGGAAUUCGCUCACUUCCUGUGGAGAGAGCGAGAUGGCAGUUGGUGUUAGGAGCUUGGAGGGAGAGGACCCCCGCAGACAGCUUUCCUUCAGAUCACUCACCAACCUGACAUAAGGAGGUGGUAUUAUCCAUCUUCUAUCUCAAAGCUAGAAUCAAGAAGUGUCCAAAGCAAUUGCAGAGACUGAAGAACUGGGCAAGAGUGAAGUGAUCUCUCCUCUCUCAAUGAUUACCAACUCUGCUCCUCCCUUCUCAUGGGUGCAGGCAAUUAAUCUCCACCAAUAAAGAGAAUCCAAAACCAA
Molecule: long non-coding RNA, 410 nt
Organism: Monodelphis domestica (gray short-tailed opossum)
Lineage: Eukaryota; Metazoa; Chordata; Mammalia; Didelphimorphia; Didelphidae
Source: RefSeq, a predicted model, not a curated record